RNAcentral lists this unclassified non-coding RNA (401 nucleotides) under Hevea brasiliensis (rubber tree). Lineage: Eukaryota; Viridiplantae; Streptophyta; Magnoliopsida; Malpighiales; Euphorbiaceae. The record is from RNAcentral.
GCGUGAUAUAUAAAGUAGAUAAAUAAGAGUUGCUACAUGUAUAAUCUCUAUGAAUCAUCGUCGUCGUCGUCGUCGUCACCAUCACAUUGGUGGGUGGCCUCUUCUAUUAUGGUCUCCAGAGCAGGAGAGCUUGAUGGCUUACUAGGAUAAAUGAUGGGAGGUGGAGCUACUUCAAUCCAAGAAAGGAAACUUGUGAUCUCCUUUGCCAUUGACGCUUUCUGAACAGUUUCUGACAAAUAGGAAAUUUAAUUGACUGAACCCUUCCUUUCUUCCUUUCUAUGUUAUGGAAGAAAAGAUAGCUAGGAUAUUAAUACAAGAUGAACAAAGUGUUGCUCAAAGGACAGGACAACAGAAACCUAAUUGGUGAAGGCUUUUAUAAGGGAAGAGGGACACCAAAAAUA